Molecule: ribosomal RNA, 292 nt
Filed under: uncultured Diaphorobacter sp.
Lineage: Bacteria; Pseudomonadati; Pseudomonadota; Betaproteobacteria; Burkholderiales; Comamonadaceae
Description: partial 16S ribosomal RNA
Rfam family: Bacterial small subunit ribosomal RNA
Source: RNAcentral
GUGUCAGCCGCCGCGGUAAUACGUAGGGUGCAAGCGUUAAUCGGAAUUACUGGGCGUAAAGCGUGCGCAGGCGGUUAUGUAAGACAGAUGUGAAAUCCCCGGGCUCAACCUGGGACCUGCAUUUGUGACUGCAUAGCUAGAGUGCGGCAGAGGGGGAUGGAAUUCCGCGUGUAGCAGUGAAAUGCGUAGAUAUGCGGAGGAACACCGAUGGCGAAGGCAAUCCCCUGGGCCUGCACUGACGCUCAUGCACGAAAGCGUGGGGAGCAAACAGGAUUAGAAACCCCAGUAGUCC